GACGAACGCUGGCGGCGUGCCUAAUACAUGCAAGUAGAACGCUGACGGAGGAGCUUGCUCUUCUGGAUGAGUUGCGAACGGGUGAGUAACGCGUAGGUAACCUGCCUGGUAGCGGGGGAUAACUAUUGGAAACGAUAGCUAAUACCGCAUAAGAGUAGAUGUUGCAUGACAUUUACUUAAAAGGUGCAAUUGCAUCACUACCAGAUGGACCUGCGUUGUAUUAGCUAGUUGGUGGGGUAACGGCUUACCAAGGCGGCGAUACAUAGCCGACCUGAGAGGGUGGUCCGCCACACUGGGACUGAGACACGGCCCAGACUCCUACGGGAGGCAGCAGUAGGGAAUCUUCGGCAAUGGGCGGAAGUCUGACCGAGCAACGCCGCGUGAGUGAAGAAGGUUUUCGGAUCGUAAAGCUCUGUUGUAAGGGAAGAACGAGUGUGAAGUUGGAAAGUUCACACUGUGACGGUAUCUUACCAGGAAGGGACGGCUAACUACGUG
This 495-nucleotide ribosomal RNA is filed under the name uncultured bacterium. RNAcentral's name for it is "partial 16S ribosomal RNA". It matches the Rfam family "Bacterial small subunit ribosomal RNA", at positions 28 to 507 of the family's 1533-position model. The record is from RNAcentral.